GAUGAACGCUGGCGGCGUGCCUAAUACAUGCAAGUCGAGCGAACAGACGAGGAGCUUGCUCCUCUGACGUUAGCGGCGGACGGGUGAGUAACACGUGGAUAACCUACCUAUAAGACUGGGAUAACUUCGGGAAACCGGAGCUAAUACCGGAUAAUAUAUUGAACCGCAUGGUUCAAUAGUGAAAGACGGUUUUGCUGUCACUUAUAGAUGGAUCCGCGCCGCAUUAGCUAGUUGGUAAGGUAACGGCUUACCAAGGAAGCGAUGCGUAGCCGACCUGAGAGGGUGGUCGGCCACACUGGAAGUGAGACACGGCCCAGACACCUACGGGGGGCAGCAGUAGGGAAUCUUACGCAAUGGAGGAGAGCCUGACAGUGCAACGCCGCGUGAGUGAUGAAGGUCUUCGGAUCGUAAAACUCUGUUAUUAGGGAAGAACAAAUGUGUAAGUAACUAUGCACGUCUUGACGGUACCUAAUCAGAAAGCCACGGCUAACUACGUG
This 497-nucleotide ribosomal RNA is filed under the name uncultured bacterium. Its description in RNAcentral is "partial 16S ribosomal RNA". It matches the Rfam family "Bacterial small subunit ribosomal RNA", at positions 28 to 507 of the family's 1533-position model. The record is from RNAcentral.